AGCAGUGGGGAAUUUUGGACAAUGGGCGCAUGCCUGAUCCAGCAAUGCCGCGUGAGUGAAGAAGGCCUUCGGGUUGUAAAGCUCUUUUGUCAGGGAAGAAACGGGAGUGGCUAAUAUCCAUUCCUAAUGACGGUACCUGAAGAAUAAGCACCGGCUAACUACGUGCCAGCAGCCGCGGUAAUACGUAGGGUGCAAGCGUUAAUCGGAAUUACUGGGCGUAAAGCGUGCGCAGGCGGUUUUGUAAGUCUGUCGUGAAAUCCCCGGGCUCAACCUGGGAAUUGCGAUGGAGACUGCAAGGCUAGAAUCUGGCAGAGGGGGGUAGAAUUCCACGUGUAGCAGUGAAAUGCGUAGAGAUGUGGAGGAACACCGAUGGCGAAAGCAGCCCCCUGGGUCAAGAUUGACGCUCAUG
This 409-nucleotide ribosomal RNA is filed under the name uncultured bacterium. Its description in RNAcentral is "bacterial SSU rRNA". It matches the Rfam family "Bacterial small subunit ribosomal RNA", at positions 350 to 751 of the family's 1533-position model. The record is from RNAcentral.